UGUGUAUUUUGUGUUUGGUGCAGUGUGGAAUGUGUGUAUGCCACUUCGGCAAGGAGGAAACAGUGCAUUGUGGUGUGUGUGUGUGAAGUCUUAUUCCAGGUGUGGGCAACUGGUGUAGUCUCUUGGCAAAAUUCAGUGUUUCUAGCGUGUGCAUGUGUAAGUGGUGCACUAAUGUGUUUGGUGUGUUGUGGGAUGCACCCCUGUCUUUGACGGGCAGAGUGAAUGCCACACACAUGCUCUGAGUUCAUAUAUGCGUUAGGUGUGGGCUGAAACGUGCCUUUUGUGCGCAGGAGCAUGUGUUGCGCUUUGCGCAUGCUCGGAGCACACUCCGUUCUGUGGUGCGUGGGCUUUGUUCGUAGCGAGGGAGGCGUGCGUCAGGUGCGGGCUAAGAGCGCAGUGUGUUGUUGUGUGUGGUGUCCAGGUGUGCGUGCUGCUCUCAUGGGAUGCACGGUGGGAGGUGGCAGGAGGUUAGUGACACGGUGAGGGUUCUCCGCGGUGGGCAUGGGGUCGGGGUCCUGCCACCAAGACAAGCCGGGGCAGAACCUCGGCUUGUCACCACCUGCCCCGGACCGACCUGCGGGGCAUUCUGGGAAGCGGGCCUCGCCCACCGCGGGGGCUGACAGGAGCUGAGGAGGCGGCGCUGGAAGUGGAGGGGUGCCCCGGGCGCGGCGUGGCUCAUCGCUGCUCGCCUGCUGGGCUGGCGCUGUAAGAGCCCCUCCGUGGCUAAAUUGUCCUGUUUAACGGCUCUGGUUGAUCGAGCGCGGUGCCCUCCACGUGUAUUUCCCCGUCUGAUCCUCAGGGCCGGCCUCUGAGGGGAGUUCCUCUCCCCACCGCACAGGCUUGCUCGCGAGUUCAGAAAGGGAUCCACACACUUUUCCCCACUUCCUACCGCUGCCACGCCACAGCCUUUAUGAUUCAAGUGCCACUACUGAUUCAGCGCCCAUCUGAUUGAAACAGCUCCUCUUUGCUAAGCAAGGUCCCAGGAAGCAGAAGUAGCUGGGCUCGUUACAUCUGAGCUGACCUUGGUCAGGUGUCCAUCUUCGAGUAAUCAUCUGGUCCCCUGGAGGGCAGGUUUUGAGGACUUGGGGCAAUGAGGUGACAUCGUGAAGAAUCUGGGUAGUGGAGCCACACUGAUUCGGACUCGCAGAACCAGCCUCAUGGUUUCCCCUCAGGGACACCAGCACCACCAGCUGGCACCCCUUCCCCAAAGGUCUGGUUUCACCUCUGCGGCUGUCCUCCAAGCUUCUUGUUCUGACAACUGCAACCUUUUCCCUGUGUGCCUCCAGCCCCAGGGAAGCCCCACUGCUUCCUGGUUGUGACUGAGUGAAGCUGUGACACCUCAGCCUUCUCUCUGCCUUCUCAAUGCUUCAGAACCUAAUUAACACUUCUUGGUACUACAGUCUCUCUGUUAAAGUGACCGCAGUGGUUUCUGGGUCUGUCUGGACCCUGACUGACACACUCGCGGGUCCUCCGCCCCCAGGUUCACGGUGACCCAGCCAGAAGCAGCCGCCAGACCCCCACACGGCUGCCCUGCCUCAGCUCUAAGGAGAAACAGCUGCUUCGGCCCCCUUUCGGGAAUCCUGUGACUAGAGAGGGAUGUGCUGCUCGCAGGGAUAACUCAUCAGCCCUGGAAAACUGGGCCAACAGUUAAACCACACAAACAAAAGAGCUGCAGCUCCACACAGAGCCUCCCGCUGGUCAGAUGCCAAGACAAACAGCUCGGUGCCCGGGGCCUGUGGGGCUGCAGGCUUCCUGGGCCUCCUGGGGGCAUCUCAGGAAGGAGGGCCUGAGCCCCAGAAUCUCUCCUUCCUGGACUCCAAGUCUUCCUUCGUUCCCUCCAGGAGUGUCUGGAACAGGCUGUGCUCUUCUUCUACUCUAGAACCUUCUGGUAAAUUGUGGAGCUUUCCAGGGCUUACCUCCCCCAGUGAAUGUCAAAGGCAGUGGGGUGCACGUUAGGUUCUUGCGGAGAGCUUCUAAAACUGCUGAUGUCUUGGCCCCACCCCAGAGAUUUUGGUCUGGACCAGCACUGGUAUUUAUUAAAACUCCCAAGUGAUUCCACUGUGCGAUCAGGAGUGAAACCCACCGAGCCAUCAGGAGUGAAACCCACGGAGUUCAAAGACCGUAUUAGGACUGCGCUUCCCAAAUUUUCGAGCCCAUCAGCGUCACCUGGAGGGCACGUGAAACCACAGACCGCCAAGCCUCACCCCAGGUUCCUACUCAGUCGUUCUGGGACAGGGCCCGGGACUGUGCAUUUCUUACAAGUUCCCAGCUGAUGCUCCCGCUGGGGACCACACUUUGAGAACCUCUGGCCAUGGAGUCGAACAGCCCAGGUUCAAAUGCCAGCUCUGCCAGACCCAGUUGACUGUCCACCUGAAAGGGUUUUGCGGGGACCGAAAGACACAACUCAGACAAAGAGCUUCACACAGUCCCUGCACGUAAUCACGUCCAGUGAACACUGUUGUUGCUGUGAUUAUGAUGACUAGCAGGCAAGGCUACAGAAAUCUGGAGUUAUAGCAUGCGACUUUGAACCAUCGUUUCCAUCAGAGCCUCAGUUUCCCCAUCUGUAAAAUGGGGAUGAUACCCUGGCCCAGCCCACUCUACGGCUUGUGGAAGGAUCAAAGGAGUUCCCUGAUGUGAAAUGUGGUGGAUGCUGUGAAGCCCAAUAGGGGAGUUAUAUAGGAAGGGGUCAAGCAGGCACAGCCCCAUCCCGGGGCCAUGGCGUAGGGCUGCUUGCUCACGUGGACGUCUGAAACAGCAGCUUUACGUGCUGAUGAGAGAGGAAUCCCCAUGUCUCCCUCCAGCUGCCUGCAUGGCUCCCUGACCCCCUCAGGCAUCGGGCAUGCCUGGGUGGGGCAGUGGCUAGUUGGCUCUUCAACCGUGUAAGAGGAAGAGAUAGGGGCUGGAGGACUCAGCCGCCCCCACCCCACCCGUCUUUCUGCUAAGAAAAGGAAUGUGGUGGAAGAGACCAAAGGUGUGCAAUCAAAGGUUUCCCUCUCCAGCCCUCGCCGCACACUUUCCAUCUUGGUGCCGUCCCUCCUUGAUCCCCCCUCUCCUUUUGUCAUCCGCUCACCCACACGCACCUCCCGCCCGCCUGGCUCCAGGGAGGGGAGCUGGGCAUAAGCUACACCCCGGGGAAGCCCAGAGGGCAGGGAGGAAAUGACUGUUCUGCUCAGACUAGGAACUUACUGGUCCACCUGGUCCCAUCCCUUUUCAGUUCAACUCGCAGACACUUAGUGCAUGUCUGCUGGUGUAAGGCUAACGGG
This 3263-nucleotide long non-coding RNA is filed under the name Equus caballus (horse). RNAcentral describes it as "lncRNA (ENSECAG00000045123.1)". The record is from RNAcentral. Lineage: Eukaryota; Metazoa; Chordata; Mammalia; Perissodactyla; Equidae.